This 401-nucleotide ribosomal RNA is filed under the name uncultured bacterium. RNAcentral describes it as "bacterial SSU rRNA". It matches the Rfam family "Bacterial small subunit ribosomal RNA", at positions 355 to 773 of the family's 1533-position model. The record is from RNAcentral.
UGGGGAAUAUUGGACAAUGGGCGCAAGCCUGAUCCAGCAAUGCCGCGUGAGUGAAGAAGGCCUUAGGGUUGUAAAGCUCUUUCACCCACGACGAUGAUGACGGUAGUGGGAGAAGAAGCCCCGGCUAACUCCGUGCCAGCAGCCGCGGUAAUACGGAGGGGGCUAGCGUUGUUCGGAAUUACUGGGCGUAAAGCGCACGUAGGCGGCGCGAACAGUCAGAGGUGAAAGGCCUGGGCUCAACCUGGGAACUGCCUUUGAUACUAGCGUGCUUGAGUCCGGAAGAGGGUGGCGGAAUUCCCAGUGUAGAGGUGAAAUUCGUAGAUAUUGGGAAGAACACCGGUGGCGAAGGCGGUCACCUGGUCCGGUACUGACGCUGAGGUGCGAAAGCGUGGGGAGCAAAC